This 589-nucleotide long non-coding RNA is filed under the name Helianthus annuus (common sunflower). The record is from RNAcentral. Lineage: Eukaryota; Viridiplantae; Streptophyta; Magnoliopsida; Asterales; Asteraceae.
UCCAACAUAACUCCAUUUAACUCACUCUCUCUCCCUAUUUUCUGCUCCACAUAACCGAACCCACCUCCAUCUCUUUCAUACAUUCAUCUUCUCCAACUACAAGUCCAUUUCCAAGCUUGAAGAUCAUUCGUAGAAGUUGUAAGUUGAAGGGCUCUCAAGAAAGCUUUGUUCAAGUCUUUAUCACCAUCUUUUCUCUUCAUCUUUGCACUAGAUUCAUCCCUAGCUUUAAGCUAGUACUCAUGGAAUUUUUACUGUAGAUGAUAGGCGUGUUUGCUGAGGAGAUUUGGGUUACAAGUACCGAAGACGCAAUACAGAAAUUAGUAAAUGGAUCUGGCGGGCGUUGGAGUUUUUAAGCUGCAUUGUGAAUAAAGAUGUCAUCUAAGUCAUUAGGGCUUAGGAGGCGUAUCUUAAUCCUGGACGAGAUACGUGGUCCUAAACUCGGGGUUGUUUUAAAAUCUUUUGUUGAGUCUCUUUGAACUCCUUAAAACAUGUUAUGGUUGGUAACUUGAAUUUGGUCUCGUCAUUUCAGACAAUUAUGUUGUACUACUUUUAAACUUAAAUUAAUGGAUCCACAUCUACUGGUUUUAUC